AUCGAACGCUGGCGGCAGGCCUAACACAUGCAAGUCGAACGAGUGGCGGACGGGCGAGUAAUGGCUGGGAACCUGCCUGACGGAGGGGGAUGACUAGUGGAAACGGUAGCUAAUACCGCAUACCAUCAGUUGGGCCGAGGUGGGAUUAGGUAGUUGGUGGGGUAACGGCUCACCAGGGCGACGAUCCCUAGCUGGUCGUAGAGGGUGACCGGCCACACUGGGACUGAGACACGGUCCAGACUCCUACGGGAGGCAGCAGUGGGGAAUAUUGCGCAAUGGACGCAAGCCUGAUGCAGCCAUGCCGCGUGAAUGAAGAAGGCCUUCGGGUUGUAAAGUACUUUCAGCAGGGAGGCGUUACCCACAGAAGAAGCACCGGCUAACUCCGUGCCAGCAGCCGCGGUAAUAC
This 406-nucleotide ribosomal RNA is filed under the name uncultured bacterium. RNAcentral describes it as "partial 16S ribosomal RNA". It matches the Rfam family "Bacterial small subunit ribosomal RNA", at positions 29 to 526 of the family's 1533-position model. The record is from RNAcentral.